GUCACACUGUUGGCUCAUGUCAAGUUUGUGGUCAACCAAGACUCCUAGAUCCUUUUCACAUGUACUGCUCUCAAGCCAGGUGUCACCCAUCUUGUAUUUGUGCCUCUCAUUUUUUUUUUUGCCCAAGUGCAAUACUUUACAUUUCUCCCUGUUAAAAUUCAUCUUGUUUGUUUUGGCCCAGUUCUCUAAUCUGUCAAGGUUGUUUUGAAGUGUGAUCCUGUCCUCUGGGGUGUUAGCCACCCCUCCCAG
RNAcentral lists this long non-coding RNA (249 nucleotides) under Podarcis lilfordi (Lilford's wall lizard). The record is from RNAcentral. Lineage: Eukaryota; Metazoa; Chordata; Lepidosauria; Squamata; Lacertidae.